This 402-nucleotide ribosomal RNA is filed under the name uncultured microorganism. Its description in RNAcentral is "bacterial SSU rRNA". It matches the Rfam family "Archaeal small subunit ribosomal RNA", at positions 330 to 735 of the family's 1478-position model. The record is from RNAcentral.
GUGCAGCAGUCGCGAAACCUCCGCAAUGCGCGAAAGCGCGACGGGGCCACCCCGAGUGCCGCCCGCUGAGGGCGGCUUUUCCCCGGUGUAGACAGCCGGGGGAAUAAGGGGAGGGCAAGUCUGGUGUCAGCCGCCGCGGUAAUACCAGCUCCCGAGUGGUGGGGACGAUUAUUGGGCCUAAAGCGUCCGUAGCCGGCCCGGCAAGUCUCCCGUUAAAUCCAGCGAUCUAAUCGCUGGACUGCGGGAGAUACUGUCGGGCUAGGGGGCGGGAGAGGCCGGCGGUAUUCCCCGGGGUAGGGGUGAAAUCCUAUAAUCCCGGGAGGACCACCAGUGGCGAAGGCUGCCGGCUGGAACGCGCCCGACGGUGAGGGACGAAAGCCGGGGAGCGAACCGGAUUAGAUA